GCCGGGCGUGGUGGCACAUGCCUGUAAUCCCAGCUACUCAGGAGGCUGAGGCAGGAGAAUUGCUUGAGCCCGGGAGGCAGGGGUUGCAGUGAGCCGAGAUCGUGCCACUGCACUCCAGCCUGGCCGACAGAGCAAGACCCUGUCUCAA
Homo sapiens (human) is the source of this 148-nucleotide non-coding RNA. It matches the Rfam family "Metazoan signal recognition particle RNA". From Rfam's summary of the family: The signal recognition particle (SRP) is a universally conserved ribonucleoprotein. It is involved in the co-translational targeting of proteins to membranes. The eukaryotic SRP consists of a 300-nucleotide 7S RNA and six proteins: SRPs 72, 68, 54, 19, 14, and 9. The record is from Rfam. NCBI's taxonomy places the organism in Eukaryota, Metazoa, Chordata, Mammalia, Primates, Hominidae.